This 253-nucleotide ribosomal RNA is filed under the name uncultured bacterium. Its description in RNAcentral is "partial 16S ribosomal RNA". It matches the Rfam family "Bacterial small subunit ribosomal RNA", at positions 524 to 776 of the family's 1533-position model. The record is from RNAcentral.
UACGUAGGGUGCAAGCGUUGUCCGGAAUUAUUGGGCGUAAAGAGCUCGUAGGCGGUUUGUCGCGUCUGCUGUGAAAACUCGGGGCUUAACCCCGGGCCUGCAGUGGGUACGGGCAGACUAGAGUGCGGUAGGGGAGACUGGAAUUCCUGGUGUAGCGGUGAAAUGCGUAGAGAUCAUGAGGAAGACCAGUGGCGAAGGCGGGUCUCUGGACAGUUCCUGACACUGAGGCACGAAGGCCAGGGGAGCAAACGGG